UACGGGGGGAGCAAGCGUUGUUCGGAUUUACUGGGCGUAAAGGGCGCGUAGGCGGCCACCGCAAGUCGACUGUGAAAUCUCCGGGCUUAACCCGGAAAGGUCAGCCAAUACUGCGGGGCUAGAGUGCAGAAGGGGCAACUGGAAUUCUCGGUGUAGCGGUGAAAUGCGUAGAUAUCGAGAGGAACACCGGUGGCGAAGGCGGCCUGCUGGGCAGUGGCCGACACUGAGGCGCGACAGCGUGGGGAGCAAACAGG
This 254-nucleotide ribosomal RNA is filed under the name uncultured bacterium. RNAcentral's name for it is "partial 16S ribosomal RNA". It matches the Rfam family "Bacterial small subunit ribosomal RNA", at positions 524 to 776 of the family's 1533-position model. The record is from RNAcentral.